AGCGAACGUUAGCGGCGGGCCUAACACAUGCAAGUCGAACGCGAAAGGUCUUCGGACUGAGUAGAGUGGCGCACGGGUGAGUAACGCGUAGGUAAUCUACCCUUUGGCGGGGGAUAACGUUCCGAAAGGAGCGCUAAUACCGCAUAAGACCACGGAGUCUCCGGACGCUGUGGGAAAAGGUGGCCUCUUCUUGAAAGCUACCACCGAAGGAUGAGCCUGCGUCCCAUCAGCUAGUUGGUAAGGUAAUGGCUUACCAAGGCGAAGACGGGUAGCUGGUUUGAGAGAAUGAUCAGCCACACUGGCACUGGAACACGGGCCAGACUCCUACGGGAGGCAGCAGUGAGGAAUAUUGGGCAAUGGGCGAAAGCCUGACCCAGCCACGCCGCGUGAGUGAUGAAGGCCCUCGGGUCGUAAAGCUCUGUGGAGAGGGACGAAAACCCUAGGUUUCAAAUAGGCUCCAGGCUUGACGGUACCUCUUUAGCAAGCACCGGCUAACUCUGUGCCAGCAGCC
RNAcentral lists this ribosomal RNA (511 nucleotides) under uncultured bacterium. RNAcentral describes it as "bacterial SSU rRNA". It matches the Rfam family "Bacterial small subunit ribosomal RNA", at positions 29 to 516 of the family's 1533-position model. The record is from RNAcentral.